Non-coding RNA from Camelina sativa (false flax), 873 nucleotides. The record is from RefSeq and is a predicted model, not a curated record. Lineage: Eukaryota; Viridiplantae; Streptophyta; Magnoliopsida; Brassicales; Brassicaceae.
UCUGUAGCCAUUGAGAUACCGUAACUGGUUAUAUGGAUGAAUAUGUAAAAAAGGACGACAUUAUUUGCCACAAAUGAGUUGUAACAUUAGAAUUGCAUAUGAGGUUUCGAGAUCUGGGACAAAGAUUACUAAGAUCUCUCUCCAAUUGUCUCAGAUGGUGACGCAUCUUUCAGAUUGUUGUCUUCUAGGUCGCUCUAGUGGUGUGUGAAAGGUGAAAGCUUUAAGCCUCGUUUCUAUCUCUUUGACAACAAUAAGGAGUGGUGAUGAAUCAGCAAAGGUUUGUUAUGUUGGUAACGGUGACACCAGUCUCUUCGUCUUUGCACCCGUGUUCUCUCUUCCUCUUUUUUUUUCCCCCAAAACUGAAUCAACUCUCUCUCUCUCUCUCUCUCUUGGUGAGAGCCGAUGUCGAUCUAAUCGUCGAUUUGUUGUGUGAAUCCGGUGAUUGAGAGGCGAAUUGAGUCCAUCGUGUGAAUCUGUUUGAAUCCGUUGAGUGAGAGGACAAUCCACCGCCGAUUACAUCAUCUCAAAUCACUCGAAAUCAGAGAGAUUUCGUUCAACAAAAAUCCAAUAUCCUUCUCAUGGUUAAUGGACUGAACACACACCGUUGGAGACAUGCGGUUGUCGUUUUACAAUUGAAGCAAGAUCAAGCAAAUGUUGAUCGCUCUUCUCUACGAAUAUGAAGAUCAAGCAUAAAGAUACUCGAUAAUGUUUGUUGUUGUCAUUGGUUUUUAGUUGUGUUCCAAGUAUAUUUGAUUGUGUCACAAGUUUUUAGUUUUCAAAAUUUUAAAUUUUUAGAACCUUUAAGUUCUACCAUUGGACUACCAACAUUUGAUAGAUUCUCAUGUAUCUAAAUUUUUUGUCAUUUACAUUACU